AAUUCUAGAGCUAAUACAUGCUAAAAACCCCGACUUCGGAAGGGGUGUAUUUAUUAGAUAAAAAACCAAUGCCCUUCGGGGCUCCUUGGUGAAUCAUGAUAACUUAACGAAUCGCAUGGCCUUGCGCCGGCGAUGGUUCAUUCAAAUUUCUGCCCUAUCAACUUUCGAUGGUAGGAUAGUGGCCUACCAUGGUAUCAACGGGUAACGGGGAAUUAGGGUUCUAUUCCGGAGAGGGAGCCUGAGAAACGGCUACCACAUCCAAGGAAGGCAGCAGGCGCGCAAAUUACCCAAUCCCGACACGGGGAGGUAGUGACAAUAAAUACUGAUACAGGGCUCUUUUGGGUCUUGUAAUUGGAAUGAGUACAAUUUAAAUACCUUAACGAGGAACAAUUGGAGGGCAAGUCUGGUGCCAGCAGCCGCGGUAAUUCCAGCUCCAAUAGCGUAUAUUAAAGUUGUUGCAGUUAAAAAGCUCGUAGUUGAACCUUGGGCCUGGCUGGCCGGUCUGCCUCACCGCAUGUACUGGUUCGGCCGGGCCUUUCCUCCUGGGGAUCCGCAUGCCCUUCACUGGGUGUGUUGGGGAACCAGGACUUUUACUUUGAAAAAAUUAGAGUGUUCAAAGCAGGCCUUUGCUCGAAUACAUUAGCAUGGAAUAAUAGAAUAGGACGUGCGGUCCUAUUUUGUUGGUUUCUAGGACCGCCGUAAUGAUUAAUAGGGAUAGUCGGGGGCAUCAGUAUUCAGUUGUCAGAGGUGAAAUUCUUGGAUUUACUGAAGACUAACUACUGCGAAAGCAUUUGCCAAGGAUGUUUUCAUUAAUCAGUGAACGAAAGUUAGGGGAUCGAAGACGAUCAGAUACCGUCGUAGUCUUAACCGUAAACUAUGCCGACUA
Molecule: ribosomal RNA, 886 nt
Filed under: Diplodia mutila
Lineage: Eukaryota; Fungi; Ascomycota; Dothideomycetes; Botryosphaeriales; Botryosphaeriaceae
Description: SSU rRNA
Rfam family: Eukaryotic small subunit ribosomal RNA
Source: RNAcentral